This 408-nucleotide ribosomal RNA is filed under the name uncultured bacterium. Its description in RNAcentral is "bacterial SSU rRNA". It matches the Rfam family "Bacterial small subunit ribosomal RNA", at positions 354 to 776 of the family's 1533-position model. The record is from RNAcentral.
GUGGGGAAUAUUGCGCAAUGGGCGAAAGCCUGACGCAGCCACGCCGCGUGAGUGAUGAAGGUUUUCGAAUCGUAAAGCUCUGUCGGGAGGGAAGAAACAAAUGACGGUACCUCCCAAGAAAGCACCGGCUAACUCCGUGCCAGCAGCCGCGGUAAUACGGAGGGUGCAAGCGUUGCUCGGAAUAACUGGGCGUAAAGCGUACGCAGGCGGCUCGUUAAGUCGGGUGUGAAAGCCCAGGGCUCAACCCUGGAACUGCAUUCGAAACUGACGAGCUUGAGUACGGGAGAGGGAAGCGGAAUUCCUGGUGUAGAGGUGAAAUUCGUAGAUAUCAGGAGGAACACCCGUGGCGAAAGCGGCUUCCUGGCCCGAUACUGACGCUCAUGUACGAAAGCGUGGGGAGCAAACAGG